Molecule: ribosomal RNA, 372 nt
Filed under: uncultured organism
Description: partial 16S ribosomal RNA
Rfam family: Bacterial small subunit ribosomal RNA
Source: RNAcentral
GUAGGGUCCAAGCGUUAAUCGGAAUUACUGGGCGUAAAGCGUGCGCAGGCGGUUGUGCAAGACCGAUGUGAAAUCCCCGGGCUUAACCUGGGAAUUGCAUUGGUGACUGCACGGCUAGAGUGUGUCAGAGGGGGGUAGAAUUCCACGUGUAGCAGUGAAAUGCGUAGAGAUGUGGAGGAAUACCGAUGGCGAAGGCAGCCCCCUGGGAUAACACUGACGCUCAUGCACGAAAGCGUGGGGGGAGCAAACAGGAUUAGAUACCCUGGUAGUCCACGCCCUAAACCGAUGUCAACUAGUUGUUGGGGAUACAUUUCCUUAGUAACGUAGCUAACGCGUGAAGUUGACCGCCUAGGGAGUACGGUCGCAAGAUUA